CGUGAGGGGCGUGGUGGUUCACGCCUGUAAUCCCAACACUUUGGGAAGCCGAGGUGGGCAGAUCAUUUGAGCUGAGGAGUUCAAGACCAGCCUGGACAACAUGCUGAAACCCCAUCUCUACUAAAACUACAAAGAAUUAGCCAGGCAUGGUAGCACAUGCCUGUAGUCCCAGCCACUCAGGAGCCUAAGGCAGGAGAAUUGCUUGAACUUCCCCAGCUUCAAGAGGAAGAGUCUGCAGUGAGCCGAGAUGGCGCCACUGCACUCCAGCCUGGGUGACAAGAGUAAAACUCCCUCUCAAAACAAACAAACAAACCAAAAAAACAAAUAGCAACAGCAACCACAAUCAUCAUCACCAUCAAGGCUGGAACAAGGAUGAGGCAGGCAGGCUCUGAUAGCAACAGGAGGAAGCAGACCAAGGAGGGAGAGAAAGGAAGGCAGAGAAGGGGAAAAAAAAACACAAAUGAUAAUAAUAGAUGCUGACAUUUACGGAGCACUUACUAUGUGCUGGGAACCAUGCUGACGGCACACCGAAUCCACUGAACAGGUGGAUCUCUUUGGGUUUUGGAAUAACAAAAAAGGGACUGUACAUGGAUAUUUCCAAGCUGGAACCGAGGCACUUUCUAGACGAAGGCAGCCUUAUCCCCAGGAGAUGAUUGAAAAUGUAAGAACUAUUCUGAGCCUGCAGGCCAUAGCCAAAGAGGACCUACUGUUAAGUUUUCAAGACCACCCAGAAAGAAAUUUGAAGUUGGGUUUAUAUCCUUAAUCCCUCAGUUAGAAAAAAAAGAAAAGUGAAGAAACUGCAUCUCCAAGAUCCUGCUAUAUCAACUUCAGUUUUUUGAAGUUAAAUUUGAUUUUUAAAUCCCUUGGCUGAUGAGACCUGUGUGGGUUUUUUUUUGGCUGGCUGCAUGAACAUGGCCCAAUCAAAGGAUGCAACAGUCAAAUGCUUGUGUACAUCAUGUUACCUGUCCAUUUCCAUCAGAGACAUCAUGGACACAGCUGAAAUACUAGGCCUGGCCUUUGUUUCAGUACAAUCGCAGAUAUAUGCAAACCGUCACCACAGUCGAGAGAAGUCAAGAUAAAACAAGAGAACAGGAAGAGAAAGAAAAACAAAGAGAAGGAGAGAAGGAAAAGAGAAGAGAUUUGGAGGUACAUAUUCCAGGGUGAGUUCUUGGGGUCUUUAUUGUUUUAGGACUUCUCAGUAUUCGUCGUGGUAACAGAGCUUUAUCUGCCUGGUUGCCAAAUAAUGUCUUCCCAAAUAAUAUGAGAGAGAAAGCAAAAGAGAACUGUUCAUUCGCAAAACUGAGACUCACCGAGUUAAAAAAUUAAGUUGUACAGAUCAGAAAUGUAAUCAUAGGAGACAAGCUCUGAGAGUUUUUCAAUCACUGUGGGGUUGC
Molecule: long non-coding RNA, 1394 nt
Filed under: Homo sapiens (human)
Lineage: Eukaryota; Metazoa; Chordata; Mammalia; Primates; Hominidae
Description: HSALNT0233844
Source: RNAcentral